UGAAACCGUUUAGGGGUAAACCUGAGAAACCCGAAAGGUCGAAGGGAGAAAUUCAUCGCGUUUCGAGGAGGGCGUCGAGAGAUCCGGCGACGGGAGCGCGUUCGCGCGCUUCCCGCGCGUUUCUUUCGACGAGCCGUUCUUCGAAUGCGUGCACUUUUCUCCUGGUAGGACGUCGCGAUCCGUCGGGUGUCGAUCUACGUAUCGCGGUGGAGCCCGUCGGCGGCGUUUCGGCGCUCGCUCGACGGACCCGCGAGAUCCGAUCGACUCGCUCGACGGUAUACGAACGGUCGGAGGCCGCUUCUAAGAGCGUCCGUCCGGCGGCAAGCGCGCCGGUUUCGUCGGGGUUUCGGACAUAGUGCCGGCUCUGACUUCCGGUGACUGUUGGCCGUCGAUUUCUCGGACAGACCUCUAAUUUAAGACCGAUCUGCGACGCUAUAGCUUUGGGUAAUUUCAGGACCCGUCUUGAAACACGGACCAAGGAGUCUAGCAUGUACGCGAGUCAUUGGGAAUCGAUAAACCUACAGGCGCAAUGAAAGUAAAGAUCCUCCUUGCGAAGAUCGAGGGAAGAUGGGCGCGCUUCGCGGCGCGCCUCGCACUCCCGGGGCGUCUCGUUCUCAUCGCGAGAUGAGGCGCACCAAGAGCGUACACGCUGGGACCCGAAAGAUGGUGAACUAUGCCUGGUCAGGACGAA
This 691-nucleotide ribosomal RNA is filed under the name Pityophthorus liquidambarus. RNAcentral describes it as "partial large subunit ribosomal RNA". It matches the Rfam family "Eukaryotic large subunit ribosomal RNA", at positions 400 to 850 of the family's 3401-position model. Lineage: Eukaryota; Metazoa; Arthropoda; Insecta; Coleoptera; Curculionidae. The record is from RNAcentral.